GACGAACGCUGGCGGCGUGCUUAACACAUGCAAGUCGAACGGAAAGGCCCCUUUGGGGGUACUCGAGUGGCGAACGGGUGCGUAACACGUGAGUAACCUGCCCUUGACUUCGGGAUAACUUCAGGAAACUGGGGCUAAUACCGGAUAGGAAUCCUUGCUGCAUGGUGGGGGUUGGAAAGCUUCGGCGGUUUUGGAUGGACUCGCGGCUUAUCAGCUUGUUGGUGGGGUAGUGGCUUACCAGGGCUUUGACGGGUAGCCGGCCUGAGAGGGCGACCGGCCACAUUGGGACUGAGAUACGGCCCAGACUCCUACGGGAGGCAGCAGUGGGGAAUAUUGCACAAUGGGCGGAAGCCGGAUGCAGCAACGCCGCGUGCGGGAUGACGGCCUUCGGGUUGUAAACCGCUUUCAGCAGGGGCGAAGCUUGUGGUGACGGUACCUGCAGAAGAAGCACCGGCUAACUACGUG
This 465-nucleotide ribosomal RNA is filed under the name uncultured bacterium. Its description in RNAcentral is "partial 16S ribosomal RNA". It matches the Rfam family "Bacterial small subunit ribosomal RNA", at positions 28 to 507 of the family's 1533-position model. The record is from RNAcentral.